Molecule: unclassified non-coding RNA, 1476 nt
Filed under: Hevea brasiliensis (rubber tree)
Lineage: Eukaryota; Viridiplantae; Streptophyta; Magnoliopsida; Malpighiales; Euphorbiaceae
Source: RNAcentral
GCCCAAUUCUACAAGCAAUUCCUUGUAUUAGAGAUCAUGAUAUAUCAACCAACAUAAACAAGAUCACGAAGAUGGGUUCCGGCGAGCAAAUUGCUUAUGAUUUUAUCCUUGCUCUUCUUUCAAUUUUUCUCAUCAUUCUUGGUUUGGUUCUUUAUUUCUUCUUCCGAAAGAAACCUGUUGAAUCUGAAGAAAGUCUUUCAGUCAAGGUUUCUGCUCCCACAUAUCCGUUGACAGAUAUAGACGCUGCCACUGAUGGCUUUAACCAUCGAAGAGUUAUCGGUAAAGGUCGUUUAGGUACAGUAUACGCAGCCGUACUGCCAAAAGAAGAGCUAGUUGCAGUUAAAAGAAUUCACCCAUCUCUUGUUUUGAGCAAUGCUGGUUUUGGGUUCUCUUCAAUACUCAAAACGCUAUCUUUAGCCCAACACCCAAAUAUAGUGCCUAUAAUGGGAUUUUCCCAGGCUCCUGGUGAGAGAAUUAUUGUUAUGGAAUUUGUUGGCAUGGCCAGUUUGGAUUUUUAUUUGCAUGAAAAUUCUGAUGGGGGUUCCCUAUUGGAUUGGAGCCGGCGACUGAGGGUUGCUGCCGGAGCAGCUAGAGGGCUUGAGUACUUGCAUGAAGGGAUGGCACCAAAUGUUAUACACGGGUAUUUCAAGGCCUCAAAUAUUCUUCUAGAUGUGAAGUUUUCUGCUAGGGUUAGUGAUUAUGGGCUAUCCUUUUUAGCACCUAAAGAAAAAAGAGGAGUUGCAGGGCAUGUGGAUGAAGAAUACUGGAGUGAGAUAGGGGGUGGCCCUUGCAAAGAAAGUGAUGUUUAUGGGUUUGGUGUGGUUUUGUUAGAGCUUUUGACUGGAAGGAGAAAUGAGGAAGGGUUACUUGUGAAGUGGGCAUUGCCUUUGAUUAAAGAACUCAAGUUUAGUGAGGUUUUAGACCCUAGACUUGCAUUACCUUAUGAUAUGAAGCCAAUUAUUAGAUUGGCCAAGGUUGCUUCAGCUUGUGUUAGCAAUUCUAGGAAGAGCAGGCCUACGAUUGUUCAAGUUGCAGCAAUUCUAAACAGUUUGGAGGCUGAGGUACGUGCAUGAUUAGAUCCAUUAUAAGAGAUCCAAGCAAUUUAAUUGCCAGCAAUUUUGAGCAAUCUAAUUAGGUGGGUCUAAAAUGGAUUGAAAUUGCUGGAGGAAGAUGAUAUGCCAAGAAAAUUGAGAUUUGGGGGAUUUCUUUUGACUUUAAUAUUCAAGUGGGACUGGCAAAAUUAAAAGGGGAAAAUGUUGAAUGGGACAGGAGGGGCCGGUGACUUGUCGUUUGGGCUGUGAAAUUUUAUCUUUGUUUGCGUGUAGAAUAGGGAUCUUUAUAGGGAGUGAAAUGAAAAUGACCCAUUUUCUUUUCUCCGUUUUUAAUCAAAUAUAUUCUCUGUAGUACUUUCUUGGGCUUUUCAUUAGUUCAUCAUUAUUGGACUAAUUAAUUGCCUUUUUGUAAAUCUUUUCGAGC